Molecule: unclassified non-coding RNA, 376 nt
Filed under: uncultured bacterium
Lineage: Bacteria
Description: contains 16S-23S intergenic spacer region
Source: RNAcentral
UCCGAGUUGACCCCGGCAGUCUCCCAUGAGUCCCCGGCAUAAUCCGCUGGCAACAUGGAACGAGGGUUGCGCUCGUUGCGGGACUUAACCCAACAUCUCACGACACGAGCUGACGACAACCAUGCACCACCUGUGCACGGCCCUUACGGACCCCGCAUCUCUGCGAGAUUUCCGUGCAUGUCAAGGCCAGGUAAGGUUCUUCGCGUUGCAUCGAAUUAAGCCACAUACUCCACCGCUUGUGCAGGCCCCCGUCAAUUUCUUUGAGUUUUAAUCUUGCGACCGUACUCCCCAGGCGGCACGUUUAACGCGUUAGCUUCGCCACAAAAGGGGUCGAUUCCUCUUACAGCAAACGUGCACCGUUUAGGGCUAGGACUAC